GUGGGGAAUAUUGGACAAUGGGCGCAAGCCUGAUCCAGCCAUGCCGCGUGAGUGAUGAAGGCCUUAGGGUUGUAAAGCUCUUUCAGUGGGGACGAUAAUGACGGUACCCACAGAAGAAGCCCCGGCUAACUUCGUGCCAGCAGCCGCGGUAAUACGAAGGGGGCUAGCGUUGUUCGGAUUUACUGGGCGUAAAGCGCACGUAGGCGGAUCGUUAAGUCGGGGGUGAAAUCCUGGAGCUCAACUCCAGAACUGCCUUCGAUACUGGCGAUCUUGAGUCCGGAAGAUGUGAGUGGAACUCCUAGUGUAGAGGUGGAAUUCGUAGAUAUUAGGAAGAACACCAGUGGCGAAGGCGGCUCACUGGUCCGGUACUGACGCUGAGGUGCGAAAGCGUGGGGAGCAAACAGGAUUAGAAACCCCUGUAGUCC
Molecule: ribosomal RNA, 425 nt
Filed under: uncultured bacterium
Lineage: Bacteria
Description: partial 16S ribosomal RNA
Rfam family: Bacterial small subunit ribosomal RNA
Source: RNAcentral